Molecule: ribosomal RNA, 1195 nt
Filed under: uncultured bacterium
Lineage: Bacteria
Description: bacterial SSU rRNA
Rfam family: Bacterial small subunit ribosomal RNA
Source: RNAcentral
UGUACGGUCAGAGGGGGACUGAGACACGGCCCCCACUCCUACGGGAGGCAGCAGCAGGGAAUCUUGCGCAAUGGGCUAAAAGGCCUGACGCAGCGACACCGCGUGGGGGAAGAAGGCUCUAGGGUUGUAAACCCCUUUUCUCGGGGAAGAGUGAGGACGGUACCCGAGGAAUAAGCCUCGGCUAACUACGUGCCAGCAGCCGCGGUAAUACGUAGGAGGCGAGCGUUGUCCGGAUUUACUGGGCGUAAAGGGCGAGUAGGCGGCCCGUCAAGUCUCAUGUGAAAUCUCCCGGCUCAACUGGGAGGGGUCAUGGGAAACUGGCGGGCUUGAGGUCAGCAGAGGAAAGUGGAAUUCCCGGAGUAGCGGUGAAAUGCGUAGAUACCGGGAGGAACACCAGAGGCGAAGGCGGCUUUCUGGGCUGCACCUGACGCUGAGGCGCGAAAGCAUGGGGAGCAAACCGGAUUAGAUACCCGGGUAGUCCAUGCCCUAAACGAUGGAUACUAGGUAUGGGGGGUAUCGACCCCCUCCGUGUCGAAGCUAACGCGAUAAGUAUCCCGCCUGGGGAGUACGGCCGCAAGGCUAAAACUCAAAGGAAUUGACGGGGGCCCGCACAAGCAGCGGAGCGUGUGGUUUAAUUCGAUGAUAAGCGAAGAACCUUACCAGGGCUUGACAUGCUUCUGCAAUCCGCCGAAAGGUGGACCUCCUUCGGGACAGAUGCACAGAUGUUGCAUGGCUGUCGUCAGCUCGUGCCGUGAGGUGUUGGGUUAAGUCCCGCAACGAGCGCAACCCUUGUCGUUAGUUGCUUUUUUCUAGCGAGACUGCCCCUAAAAAGGGGGAGGAAGGUGGGGAUGACGUCAAGUCAGCACGGCUCUUACGUCCUGGGCUACACACACGCUACAAUGGCCGGUACAGAGGGUCGCGAAGGAGCGAUCCGGAGCUAAUCCCACAAAGCCGGCCCCAGUUGGGAUUGCAGGCUGCAACUCGCCUGCAUGAACGUGGAGUUGCUAGUAACCGCAGGUCAGCACACUGCGGUGAAUACGUUCCCGGGCCUUGUACACACCGCCCGUCAAGUCAUGGAAGUCGGCAACACUUGAAGUCGCUGGGCCAACCCCGAUUUGUCGGAGAGGCAGGCGCCGAGGGUGGGGCUGGUGACUGGGACGAAGUCGUAACAAGGUAGCUGUACCGGAAGGUGCGG